GUGAUACUUGGAGGUCAUGCUUCAGUAACAGUGAGAGGAGGACGAGAUUCGUUCACUUCACAAGAGUAUGUCUCUAGUGUUGACUCUGUCGAGUCCUUGGUACAGUGAACAGAGGCAGAAGGUCCACCUUUCCUCCCCUCCAUCCUCCCACAGCUCUACCCUCUUGGACCCUGCGCUUCUUCCCAGAAUAAUCAUCUUAUGAAAGAUCUCGCCAGUAGUGUAGACACCUCUGAGUGUGCCCCGCCGCGUGAGCGAGUCUCCCUGCAGAUGUAGGAAGACCAGAAGAAAGAGAGCUGGCAGCAAGCAUGCUGUAACGAGACCUCAGUUCUCCCUCAGACUCGAACCCUAAAGGAUUAGCCUCAGUUUCCCUCGGCUGAGCUGAAAGCAGAGGCAGCCCUGCCUUCCGGGAGGGAUGAUGAAAGACUCUGAAGGGAGCCAGAAUUCUCUCCCAGGAGCAGGUCUCUGCCACGAAGAACCAGGAUGACAGGGUCACUUGGGGGCAAAAAUGAUACGGGCAGAAGUGACCAACGAGAAAUAUCUGGGAGUCUGGAAGGAGGCAGGCAAGACCUCACUGGCUCCGAAAACCAAAUAACUCAGACAGACAGACGACGACGACGACGACGACGACGA
This is a non-coding RNA of Peromyscus maniculatus bairdii (prairie deer mouse), 630 nucleotides long. The record is from RefSeq and is a predicted model, not a curated record. NCBI's taxonomy places the organism in Eukaryota, Metazoa, Chordata, Mammalia, Rodentia, Cricetidae.